GAUGAACGCUGGCGGCGUGCCUAAUACAUGCAAGUCGAACGAAGAUCUAGCUUGCUAGAUCUUAGUGGCGAACGGGUGAGUAAUACAUAAAUAAUCUGCCCAUAUGACUGGGAUAACUAUUGGAAACGAUAGCUAAUACCGGAUAGGUUGAUCGGAGGCAUCUCUGAUGAAUUAAAGUAGGAUUUCUACACAAAUGGAUGAGUUUAUGGCGCAUUAGUUAGUUGGUGGGGUAACGGCCUACCAAGACGAUGAUGCGUAGCCGACCUGAGAGGGUGACCGGCCACACUGGGACUGAGACACGGCCCAGACUCCUACGGGAGGCAGCAGUAGGGAAUUUUCGGCAAUGGGCGCAAGCCUGACCGAGCAACGCCGCGUGAGUGAUUAAGGCCUUCGGGUUGUAAAGCUCUGUUGUAAGGGAAGAACAUUCAGGAUAGGAAAUGAUCUUAAACUGACGGUACCUUACCAGAAAGCCACGGCUAACUACGUGCCAGCAGCCGCCGCCG
RNAcentral lists this ribosomal RNA (503 nucleotides) under uncultured bacterium. RNAcentral describes it as "partial 16S ribosomal RNA". It matches the Rfam family "Bacterial small subunit ribosomal RNA", at positions 28 to 523 of the family's 1533-position model. The record is from RNAcentral.